Molecule: ribosomal RNA, 423 nt
Filed under: uncultured bacterium
Lineage: Bacteria
Description: bacterial SSU rRNA
Rfam family: Bacterial small subunit ribosomal RNA
Source: RNAcentral
UUGGAUUUUGGUAUCAGUGGCGAACGGGUGAGUAACACGUGGGUAACCUGCCCCUUAGUUGAGGAUAACUAUUGGAAACGAUAGCUAAUACUGAAUACGAUAUAUCUUCGCAUGAAUUUAUAUUAAAAGGAGCUUCGGCUUCGCUAAGGGAUGGACCUGCGGUGCAUUAGCUAGUUGGUGUGAUAAAAGCGCACCAAGGCGACGAUGCAUAGCCGGGCUGAGAGGCUGAACGGCCACAUUGGGACUGAGACACGGCCCAAACUUCUACGGAAGGCUGCAGUAGGGAAUUUUUCGCAAUGGACGAAAGUCUGACGAAGCAAUGCCGCGUGAGGGAUGACGGUUUUCGGAUUGUAAACCUCUGUUAUAAGAGAAGAACACUAAGUUAGGAAAUGAUAUCUAGCUGACGGUAUCUUAUCAGAAAGG